Molecule: ribosomal RNA, 120 nt
Filed under: uncultured bacterium
Lineage: Bacteria
Description: partial 16S ribosomal RNA
Rfam family: Bacterial small subunit ribosomal RNA
Source: RNAcentral
UUGCCGAAAGAUCGGCCCGCGUCGGAUUAGCUAGUUGGUGGGGUAAAAGCCUACCAAGGCGACGAUCCGUAGCUGGUCUGAGAGGAUGACCAGCCACACUGGGACUGAGACACGGCCCAG